AGAAAACACAAAAUGGAGAUACGGAGUGAUCAGAUUUGAAAUGAAAUCACAAAACUAAAAACAACACCAACAUCUUGGACCAAUAUGUUGCAUCCUAUUCUCUCUUACCUGAUUGCUGCUUUGCUGAGAGGGUCCAUCUGUUGUUUGGUGUCGUAUUUGUGCGUUGGGGCUACUCUUCCUCUUUUUAUACGCACAAGCCCCCUC
This is a long non-coding RNA of Onychostoma macrolepis, 204 nucleotides long. RefSeq lists it as uncharacterized. The transcript has 3 exons. The record is from RefSeq and is a predicted model, not a curated record. Lineage: Eukaryota; Metazoa; Chordata; Actinopteri; Cypriniformes; Cyprinidae.